RNAcentral lists this long non-coding RNA (556 nucleotides) under Pan troglodytes (chimpanzee). Its description in RNAcentral is "long non-coding RNA NONPTRT018356". Lineage: Eukaryota; Metazoa; Chordata; Mammalia; Primates; Hominidae. The record is from RNAcentral.
CCUGGAUGUUAGACGCUAUUAAGGACCAUGCUAUUUUGUAUUUGUGAGAAUGAUAUUGAAGAAACCUGUUUAUGCACCCUGCUGCAAUCCCACCACCUGCCCAGGCCAAGUGAGCCCCUCUCCGCUACUGGUGUUUCAUAAUGCUGGGAGCUACUUUGAUUUCAUGCAUUGCCCUUCAGCUGCCAUGUUAUGAGGACACUUGGAGAAAGCUACAGGAGAGGAACUGAGGUCUCCUGCCAUCAGCCACUUGAGUGAGCAUGGGAGUGGAUUCUCCAAACUCCAGUUAAGACUUGAGAUGUCCACAGUGGCAGCCACUAGCUUGACUGCAACUUACGAGAGACACUGAGCCAGAGGCACUCAGCUAAGUCAUACACAGUUUCCUGACCCGUAAAACCUGUGACACAAUGAAGGUUUGUUGUUUUGGGGGUAAUCCGUUAUUCAGCAAUAGAUAACGAAUACAGAAGGCUUGUAAUUGUAUAACCAACGUGAGUUUAUAAGCGGAUAUCUGACCUCAUUUGUUUUCUCCUGAAAAAGUUAUAGAAAAAUCACAAGACUG